CACCGAAGGCUCGAGUGGUAUCCACGAAUAUUGGGCCUAAAGAGUCCGUAGCUGGCUUGUUAAGUUCUCUGUGAAAUCUUCCGGCUUAACCGGAAGGCGUGCAGGGGGUACUGACAGGCAUGGGAGUGGGGGAAGUCAGGAGUACUCACGGGGUAGAGGUAAAAUUCUGUAAUCCUGUGAGGACUACCAGUGGCGAAGGCGCCUGACUAAAACAUGUCCGACGGUGAGGGACGAAGGCUAGGAGA
This 245-nucleotide ribosomal RNA is filed under the name uncultured archaeon. Its description in RNAcentral is "partial 16S ribosomal RNA". It matches the Rfam family "Archaeal small subunit ribosomal RNA", at positions 474 to 718 of the family's 1478-position model. The record is from RNAcentral.